Molecule: ribosomal RNA, 257 nt
Filed under: Gallibacterium anatis
Lineage: Bacteria; Pseudomonadati; Pseudomonadota; Gammaproteobacteria; Pasteurellales; Pasteurellaceae
Description: partial 16S ribosomal RNA
Rfam family: Bacterial small subunit ribosomal RNA
Source: RNAcentral
UUAAAUUGAAGAGUUUGAUCAUGGCUCAGAUUGAACGCUGGCGGCAGGCUUAACACAUGCAAGUCGAACGGUAACGGGUUGAAAGCUUGCUUUCAAUGCUGACGAGUGGCGGACGGGUGAGUAAGGCUUGGGGAUCUGGCUUUUGGAGGGGGAUAACCAUUGGAAACGAUGGCUAAUACCGCAUAGUAUCGAGAGAUGAAAGGGGUGGUUUAUGCCACUUGCCAAGGGAUGAACCCAAGUGAGAUUAGGUAGUUGGU